Molecule: ribosomal RNA, 429 nt
Filed under: Verrucomicrobiota bacterium
Lineage: Bacteria; Pseudomonadati; Verrucomicrobiota
Description: Verrucomicrobia bacterium partial 16S ribosomal RNA
Rfam family: Bacterial small subunit ribosomal RNA
Source: RNAcentral
UAGGGAAUCUUCCGCAAUGGACGAAAGUCUGACGGAGCAACGCCGCGUGAGUGAAGAAGGAUUUCGGUUCGUAAAACUCUGUUGUUAGGGAAGAAAAAAUGUAUAGUAACUAUAUACAAAAGAGACGGUACCUAACCAGAAAGCCACGGCUAACUACGUGCCAGCAGCCGCGGUAAUACGUAGGUGGCAAGCGUUGUCCGGAAUUAUUGGGCGUAAAGCGCGCGCAGGUGGUUUAGAAAGUCUGAUGUGAAAGCCCACGGCUCAACCGUGGAGGGUCAUUGGAAACUAAUAAACUUGAGUGCACGAGAGAAAAGUGGCAUUCCUAGUGUAGCGAUGAAAUGCGUAGAGAUUAGGAGGAACACCGGUGGCGAAAGCGGCUUUUUGGCCUGCAACUGACACUGAGGCGCGAAAGCGUGGGGAGCAAACAGG